Molecule: small nuclear RNA, 164 nt
Organism: Ursus americanus (American black bear)
Lineage: Eukaryota; Metazoa; Chordata; Mammalia; Carnivora; Ursidae
Gene: U1
Rfam family: U1 spliceosomal RNA
About the family: U1 is a small nuclear RNA (snRNA) component of the spliceosome (involved in pre-mRNA splicing). Its 5' end forms complementary base pairs with the 5' splice junction, thus defining the 5' donor site of an intron.
Source: Ensembl
GCACUUACCUGGCAGUGGAGAGACCAUGAUCAGGAAGAUGGUUUUCCCAGGGCAAGGCUAACCCAUUGCGCUCCAGAUAUGCUGACCCCUAUGAUUUUCCCAAAUGUGGGAAACUUGGCUGCAUAACUUGGGGUAGCAGGGGACUGCAUUUGUGCUCUCCCCUA